CAAAGGCUUGGUCCUGACUUUACUGUCGACUUUAACUAAACUUACACAUGCAAGUAUCCGCCCCCCUGUGAGAAUGCCCACAACUCCCUGCUUGGGAACUAGGAGCUGGUAUCAGGCACAAGCCCCGCUAGCCCACGACGCCUUGCUUAGCCACACCCUCAAGGGAACUCAGCAGUGAUAAAUAUUAAGCCAUAAGUGAAAACUUGACUUAGUUAAGGUUAAGAGGGCCGGUAAAACUCGUGCCAGCCACCGCGGUUAUACGAGAGGCCCAAGUUGACAAACAACGGCGUAAAGAGUGGUUAGGGGAUUUACUAAACUAGAGCCGAACGCUUUCAGAGCUGUUAUACGCACCCGAAAGUAUGAAACCCAAUUACGAAAGUAGCUCUACUCAUCCUGAACCCACGAAAGCUAAGAAACAAACUAGGAUUAGAUACCC
This 436-nucleotide ribosomal RNA is filed under the name Reinhardtius hippoglossoides (Greenland flounder). RNAcentral describes it as "partial 12S rRNA". It matches the Rfam family "Bacterial small subunit ribosomal RNA", at positions 7 to 787 of the family's 1533-position model. Lineage: Eukaryota; Metazoa; Chordata; Actinopteri; Pleuronectiformes; Pleuronectidae. The record is from RNAcentral.